RNAcentral lists this long non-coding RNA (319 nucleotides) under Vigna radiata. Its description in RNAcentral is "long non-coding RNA (VRAD_LNC015656)". The record is from RNAcentral. Lineage: Eukaryota; Viridiplantae; Streptophyta; Magnoliopsida; Fabales; Fabaceae.
ACUAUUUCUACAAAAACCCUAUUUUUAUCCUAAUUACUCUAAAAUAUCUUAAUUCUAGAAAAUUAAAAACUAAACUAUCCUAAAAGAAGAGCAUUAACAUAGAAAAAUGAGGAAAUUUAGAGACUUAACACACCCCCACACUUAAGGAAUUGCCCUCCUGGGCAGGGAAAAUUAAAAAGCAAAAGAAAAACAAAAGACUCAAUCUACAAAAUGAAAACUCAGAAACACUAAAACUCAUUCACAACUCAAUUCAUCCUGCCAAUUCAAUCACUUCCAGCCACUUCUUUCAAUCAGACUGCUGCAGCAGCAACUCUUCUUC